This 253-nucleotide ribosomal RNA is filed under the name uncultured bacterium. RNAcentral's name for it is "partial 16S ribosomal RNA". It matches the Rfam family "Bacterial small subunit ribosomal RNA", at positions 524 to 776 of the family's 1533-position model. The record is from RNAcentral.
UACGGAGGGGACUAGCGUUGUUCGGAAUUACUGGGCGUAAAGCGCACGUAGGCGGAUUUGUAAGUCAGGGGUGAAAUCCCGGGGCUCAACCUCGGAACUGCCUUUGAUACUGCAAAUCUCGAGUCCGGAAGAGGUGAGUGGAAUUCCUAGUGUAGAGGUGAAAUUCGUAGAUAUUAGGAAGAACACCAGUGGCGAAGGCGGCUCACUGGCUCGUAUCUGACGCUCAGGCGCGACAGCGUGGGGAUCAAACAGG